CACGUAGGGUGCAGGCGUUAAUCGGAAUUACUGGGCGUAAAGCGUGCGCAGGCGGUCUUUUAAGUCAGAUGUGAAAUCCCCGGGCUUAACCUGGGAACUGCGUUUGAAACUGGAAGGCUAGAGUGUGGCAGAGGGGGGUGGAAUUCCACGUGUAGCAGUGAAAUGCGUAGAGAUGUGGAGGAACACCGAUGGCGAAGGCAGCCCCCUGGGCUAACACUGACGCUCAUGCACGAAAGCGUGGGGAGCAAACAGG
RNAcentral lists this ribosomal RNA (253 nucleotides) under uncultured bacterium. RNAcentral describes it as "partial 16S ribosomal RNA". It matches the Rfam family "Bacterial small subunit ribosomal RNA", at positions 524 to 776 of the family's 1533-position model. The record is from RNAcentral.